RNAcentral lists this ribosomal RNA (450 nucleotides) under uncultured bacterium. Its description in RNAcentral is "bacterial SSU rRNA". It matches the Rfam family "Bacterial small subunit ribosomal RNA", at positions 354 to 796 of the family's 1533-position model. The record is from RNAcentral.
GUGGGGAAUAUUGGACAAUGGGGGAAACCCUGAUCCAGCAAUGCCGCGUGUGUGAAGAAGGCCUGCGGGUUGUAAAGCACUUUCAGUAGAGAAGAAAUGUUCGGAGCUAACACCUCCGGAACUUGACGUAACCUACAGAAGAAGCACCGGCUAACUCCGUGCCAGCAGCCGCGGUAAUACGGAGGGUGCGAGCGUUAAUCGGAAUUACUGGGCGUAAAGCGCGCGUAGGCGGUUUGGUCAGUCGAUUGUGAAAGCCCUGGGCUUAACCUGGGAAUUGCAGUCGAUACUGCCUGACUAGAAUGUGGGAGAGGGAAGUGGAAUUUCCGGUGUAGCGGUGAAAUGCGUAGAUAUCGGAAGGAACACCAGUGGCGAAGGCGGCUUCCUGGCCCAACAUUGACGCUGAGGUGCGAAAGCGUGGGGAGCGAACAGGAUUAGAUACCCUAGUAGUCC